AUGAAUGCUAUGAGCUAGAACUGUCGAGGGCUUGGGAACCCUGGGAUAGUUCAUGAGCUUCGCAAGAUAGUGAAGCAAGAAGGUCCUACCAUGCUUUUCGUCAUGUAGAUAAAGAUUAGGGGGAAAUGUGUGGAAGAUUUGAAGCAUACUUUAGGUUUUUCUGGUUGCUUUGCCAUUAAUAGUGACGGUCUAAGCGGAGGUAUCGGUUUGUUUUGGUCAAAAGAUGUUGAAGUUACUUUGGAUAAUUUCAACAAGUCUCAUAUUGAUGUGAAGGUCAAACAGAAUAAUAAAAUUUGGCGCUUUACUAGCUUCUAUGGAGAGCCACACUUGGAGAACCGCCACCACAGUUGA
RNAcentral lists this ribosomal RNA (351 nucleotides) under Triticum aestivum (bread wheat). RNAcentral describes it as "partial small subunit ribosomal RNA". The record is from RNAcentral. Lineage: Eukaryota; Viridiplantae; Streptophyta; Magnoliopsida; Poales; Poaceae.